Long non-coding RNA from Equus caballus (horse), 1732 nucleotides. The record is from Ensembl. Lineage: Eukaryota; Metazoa; Chordata; Mammalia; Perissodactyla; Equidae.
GUUGUCUUUCCACCGUGUUGUUUGGUGCCAUCGCCAGUGUGCGUGGGCAGAAGCCAGCCUUGCUCCAGAACUUUGAUCAAGACAAGGAUACCCAGCUCAGGUCCUGGAGGCCCAUCUGCUCUAAAGGAGAGCUGAGUCCAGAGCCAAAGGGAACACACUGUACUCCUAAAAGAAAGGAAUUUACAUCAGCUGGCUAAUUGCAUCCAAUCCUCUGGAUUCGUGAUCAAGAAUACAGACCGUCCUGCCUACUGACGCUGAAGGAGAAUCUGUGCCACUUGGGAUCAUGGGGAUUGUUGAAAUGACUGUUGACAAGCCAUAAUGGUGAAAGAAGGUGAUUGAUUUCUCACCAGCUCUUCCCCUUUCACCUGCUACUUCUUUACUCUUUCUCGCCUAUCGAGACUCUGACAAAUAGAAACAGGUUUUGUUACAAGCUAACUAUUCAUUGGUGGAGUGGAGUGAGAGAUUGGGGAACCACAGUUUAGGAUAGUCUGGAGGAUAUAUGCCAAAAACAAGGUUCCUGUCUCCAAGAACCAUCCAAUACAGUGGGAAUGAGAGAACAACCCAAAGUGAACAACCGACUCCUGCCUUUCUGCCACUCACCUCGUCUCAGCCUCCAGCACUUGGAUCUAGUCAUCUGUUGUCUUCGUCCAUCUCCCCCUGCUGGGCUCUUCAUUUCGUGUUUACUAGCUGCUUCAUGGGAGAGUGCUCAAGGAAAGGAAAAGACGAAACUCAAAGCAGUGAACAUUAUCUCUGCCGAAGCUCACAACUUCCAUCCUGUACCUCUCGCUUCCAUACACCAGAGGAAAGCAGUGACUUUAAAAUGGGAGCAUCUAGAGGACAACACUUUAAACAAGUGAUCAGGUGAACAUCGUCAGUAACGGGAUACAGGGACGUGCUGAUAAGAACACAGCACCACUUCUGUGUUAUUCCUGUCAAAGAUGCAAAACCUGAAUCUAAUCAUGAGGAAACAAUAAACAAAUCCAAACUGAUGGAUAAUCUACGAAAUAACUCCCCUCAAUAAUGUCAUGUCAUGUAAUCUUUAAAAGUGUCCUUCCAUGAAAGUCAAGAAAAGACAAAAGACCUGCUAAAGAUACUUGACAAUGAGACGAAAUACGUGGAUCUGAACUGGAUCCUUUCGCUGGGAAGGACAUGACUGAGACAACUAGAGAACCUGGGCUCUGAGGAUUGAAUGGCAGCAAUGCAUCAAUGUCAUUUCCUGAUUGGGAUGGUUGUAGUGAUGUUGGAGAAUGUCCUUGUCGUAGGAAAUCCACACUAAAGUAUUCGGGGGCAAUGGACCAUCACACUGGCAACUAGUUUUAAAUGGUUUGGGAGGGGGAGUUAUUUGUACUAUACUUCCAAUUUUUCUGUAAGUUUUUAAAAUUAUAUGAUGAUACCUAUAGGUAGCAAAAAUCUCCAGCUUAAUACCAUGGGGAUAACAAGAAUUGCUGCACUCAUCCACACGGUUGGGAGAAAAGAAAGCACUCAUCUGUGCAGUUGAAAAUGUCUCUAGCAAUGGAAUUAAGCCUCCCCUGGAAUCUUAAAAGAUAAUCUUGUCUCAUUUUGAUAAGCACCCCUCUCCCAGAGAGGUCAGUUCACUAUUUUUCUCUGCAAACUCUGGUACUUAGUUUGGAAACCAUUCUUCGUUCAUUUGCAGAAUUCCAAGCCUCUUUCCAGAGGUAGCUCCCUUUCUGAGAGAAUGUCAGGAGUAGAGGUGAUACAUGUUGGAACCAUG